AUUAUAAUAGCUUAAAGUAAAGCGUAGCUCUGAAGAAGCUAUUAUGGAUAAAUUCCUUAUAAUA
This 64-nucleotide transfer RNA is filed under the name Urolabida histrionica. Its description in RNAcentral is "tRNA-Phe". It matches the Rfam family "tRNA". From Rfam's summary of the family: Transfer RNA (tRNA) molecules are approximately 80 nucleotides in length. Their secondary structure includes four short double-helical elements and three loops (D, anti-codon, and T loops). Further hydrogen bonds mediate the characteristic L-shaped molecular structure. tRNAs have two regions of fundamental functional importance: the anti-codon, which is responsible for specific mRNA codon recognition, and the 3' end, to which the tRNAs corresponding amino acid is attached (by aminoacyl-tRNA synthetases). tRNAs cope with the degeneracy of the genetic code in two manners: having more than one tRNA (with a specific anti-codon) for a particular amino acid; and 'wobble' base-pairing, i.e. permitting non-standard base-pairing at the 3rd anti-codon position. Lineage: Eukaryota; Metazoa; Arthropoda; Insecta; Hemiptera; Urostylididae. The record is from RNAcentral.